CCUACGGGAGGCAGCAGUAGGGAAUCUUCCGCAAUGGACGAAAGUCUGACGGAGCAACGCCGCGUGAACGAUGAAGGCCUUCGGGUCGUAAAGUUCUGUUGUUAGGGAAGAACAAGUGCUAGUUAAAUAAGCUGGCACCUUGACGGUACCUAACCAGAAAGCCACGGCUAACUCCGUGCCAGCAGCCGCGGUAAUACGUAGGUGGCAAGCGUUGUCCGGAAUUAUUGGGCGUAAAGCGCGCGCAGGCGGUUUCUUAAGUCUGAUGUGAAAGCCCCCGGCUCAACCGGGGAGGGUCAUUGGAAACUGGGAAACUUGAGUGCAGAAGAGGAAAGUGGAAUUCCAAGUGUAGCGGUGAAAUGCGUAGAGAUUUGGAGGAACACCAGUGGCGAAGGCGACUUUCUGGUCUGUAACUGACGCUGAGGCGCGAAAGCGUGGGGAGCAAACAGGAUUAGAUACCCUGGUAGUCCACGCUGUAAACGAUGAGUGCUAAGUGUUAGAGGGUUUCCGCCCUUUAGUGCUGAAGUUACGCAUUAAGCACUCCGCCUGGGGAGUACGGUCGCAAGACUGAAACUCAAAGGAAUUGACGG
RNAcentral lists this ribosomal RNA (587 nucleotides) under uncultured bacterium. RNAcentral's name for it is "bacterial SSU rRNA". It matches the Rfam family "Bacterial small subunit ribosomal RNA", at positions 338 to 916 of the family's 1533-position model. The record is from RNAcentral.